CCUACGGGUGGCAGCAGUGAGGAAUAUUGGUCAAUGGCCGGAAGGCUGAACCAGCCAUGCCGCGUGAAGGUCAGUGCCCUAUGGGCGUUAAACUUCUUUUGUGCGGGAGCAAUAAUGGUCACGUGUGGCCAGACGAGAGUACCGUACGAAUAAGCAUCGGCUAACUCCGUGCCAGCAGCCGCGGUAAUACGGGGGAUGCAAGCGUUAUCCGGAUUUAUUGGGUUUAAAGGGUGCGUAGGCGGGCUGUUAAGUCAGCGGUCAAAUGUCGGGGCUCAACCCCGGCCUGCCGUUGAAACUGGCGGCCUCGAGUGGGCGAGAGGUAUGCGGAAUGCGUGGUGUAGCGGUGAAAUGCAUAGAUAUCACGCAGAACUCCGAUUGCGAAGGCAGCAUACCGGCGCCCGACGGACGCUGAGGCACGAAAGCGUGGGUAUCGAACAGGAUUAGAUACCCCUGUAGUC
This 458-nucleotide ribosomal RNA is filed under the name uncultured bacterium. RNAcentral's name for it is "partial 16S ribosomal RNA". It matches the Rfam family "Bacterial small subunit ribosomal RNA", at positions 338 to 795 of the family's 1533-position model. The record is from RNAcentral.